UCACUCUGGUUUCCCUUCAAAAAGCAUAAAUCUUUCGCCUUUUACUAAAGAUUUCCGUGGAGGGGAACAAGUUAACGAGUCUUUAGACUAAUUUUUUGUUUGCUCUGCCUUCCUGGUGGGGCU
RNAcentral lists this small nuclear RNA (123 nucleotides) under Actinia tenebrosa (Australian red waratah sea anemone). RNAcentral describes it as "U5 spliceosomal RNA". It matches the Rfam family "U5 spliceosomal RNA". From Rfam's summary of the family: U5 RNA is a component of both types of known spliceosome. The precise function of this molecule is unknown, though it is known that the 5' loop is required for splice site selection and p220 binding, and that both the 3' stem-loop and the Sm site are important for Sm protein binding and cap methylation. Lineage: Eukaryota; Metazoa; Cnidaria; Anthozoa; Actiniaria; Actiniidae. The record is from Rfam by way of RNAcentral.